AUUAUCUUGGCAGAAUAGUGCUAUUGAUUUAGAAUCUUUGAAUGUAGUUUUACAGAUAAUU
Molecule: transfer RNA, 61 nt
Filed under: Trixagus sp. TRI01
Lineage: Eukaryota; Metazoa; Arthropoda; Insecta; Coleoptera; Throscidae
Description: tRNA-Leu
Source: RNAcentral